CAUGGCGGUGCUACCAUGCAAGUCGAACGUGAUCCGCCCUUCGGGGUGGUGAAAGUGGCGCACGGGUGAGUAACGCGUGGAUAAUCUGCCCGAGGAUUUGGGAUAACAUCUCGAAAGGGGUGCUAAUACCGAAUAAGCCCACGGGGUCUACGGAUCUUGCGGGAAAAGGGGGGGACCUUCGGGCCUCCUGUCCUUGGAUGAGUCUGCGUACCAUUAGCUAGUUGGUGGGGUAAUGGCCUACCAAGGCGACGAUGGUUAGCUGGUCUGAGAGGAUGAUCAGCCACACUGGAACUGAGACACGGUCCAGACUCCUACGGGAGGCAGCAGUGGGGAAUUUUGCGCAAUGGGGGAAACCCUGACGCAGCAACGCCGCGUGGGUGAUGAAGGCCUUCGGGUCGUAAAGCUCUGUCUGGAGGGAAGAAAUGAUUGGGAGCUAAUACCUCUUGAUCUUGACGGUACCUCUGAAGGAAGCACCGGCUAACUCCGUGCCAGCAGCCGCGGUAAUACGGAGGGUGCAAGCGUUGUUCGGAAUUAUUGGGCGUAAAGCGCGUGUAGGCGGUCUUUUAAGUCUGAUGUGAAAGCCCCGGGCUCAACCUGGGAAGUGCAUUGGAAACUGGGAGGCUUGAGUACGGGAGAGGAGAGUGGAAUUCCUAGUGUAGGAGUGAAAUCCGUAGAUAUUAGGAGGAACACCGGUGGCGAAGGCGGCUCUCUGGACCGAUACUGACGCUGAGACGCGAAAGCGUGGGUAGCAAACAGGAUUAGAUACCCUGGUAGUCCACGCCGUAACGAUGAGUACUAGGUGUUGCGGGUAUUGACCCCU
RNAcentral lists this ribosomal RNA (820 nucleotides) under uncultured Anaerovibrio sp. RNAcentral's name for it is "bacterial SSU rRNA". It matches the Rfam family "Bacterial small subunit ribosomal RNA", at positions 38 to 840 of the family's 1533-position model. The record is from RNAcentral. Lineage: Bacteria; Bacillati; Bacillota; Negativicutes; Selenomonadales; Selenomonadaceae.